AUGCGGGUGGGCGCGGAGGGGCUGGCCCAGGGCCCCAAGAUCCGUGGCCUCCUCAUGAUUCACCCAUACUUCCUGGGGAGCAACAAGGUGAACUCCGACGACCUGGACCCGACGGCGCGGGAGAGCCUAGCGAGCGCAUGGCGCAUCAUGUGCCCGACGACCACGGGGGAGGACGACCCGCGAAUCAACCCGUUGGUGGACAGCGCGCCGGGCCUCGAGGCCCUGGCAUCUGGCUGCGUGCUCGUGUGCAUUGCCGAGGGCGACGUGCUCCGCGACCGCGGCCGCGCUUACUGCGACCGGCUCACGGCGAGCGGCUAGAGCGGGCAGGCGGACAUAUGGCAGGCGCCGGGAAAGGGGCACACGUUCCACCUCCUUGAGCCGUGCUGCCAAGAGGCCGUCGCGCAGGACAAGGUCAUCGCCGAGUUCCUCAACCGUUGA
RNAcentral lists this ribosomal RNA (438 nucleotides) under Triticum aestivum (bread wheat). RNAcentral's name for it is "partial small subunit ribosomal RNA". Lineage: Eukaryota; Viridiplantae; Streptophyta; Magnoliopsida; Poales; Poaceae. The record is from RNAcentral.